Molecule: long non-coding RNA, 221 nt
Filed under: Cyanistes caeruleus (blue tit)
Lineage: Eukaryota; Metazoa; Chordata; Aves; Passeriformes; Paridae
Description: lncRNA (ENSCCEG00000020465.1)
Source: RNAcentral
ACUCCAUAAAGCUCUGUGGAAGCAGACUGGGACACUUCACUGAGUUUAGAUUUGACUCCAUCCCUGAGAUGCAACAUAGUUUUGGAAAUCCUGCUAAGCUCCACAUUUCCUGAAGACAAUACUUCCCCAUAAUACUGGAGAAGAACACUGUCACUUAUUGGCAGAGAAUUGCAGCCUCUGAAAUUCACUGUGGAUUCAAAUUUUUCCUGUGUCCUCCAAGA